This 2098-nucleotide long non-coding RNA is filed under the name Pandoravirus celtis. RNAcentral's name for it is "hypothetical ncRNA". The record is from RNAcentral.
GGGCAACGCGCGCUCACACAGGCCACCGCUCGGGUGAAAAGGUGGGCAGGCACCAGGCGGCGAUGAUGUCGGCGUCUGAUCGGGAGCGACCGUUGCAAAAGCCUUGCGAUGUGCCCGAGGCCGGCUCGCGGCACGUCCCAUAGCACACGGCCGAGCAGGCCUUGGUCCACGGCGAACCCUGGAGGGCCAUCCCAAUAUGCCUCACGCACUCGAAACUGCCGCCGUGGCCUAUCAUGGAACAAAAGAGCGCGAGCGUGUCGCGCAUUGCCUUGCGCUCCAUGCCGAGGGCAUCGCACCAGAUUUCGAUGGCGUCGAUCAAAAUCAUGGCAUCGGGCGUGAGGUCCCACCCGGUCACGCACGAGACAAAGGCGUCGCGCACAAGAGGCACGCCGUGGCCAGAUUCCCAGAGCAGCCGGGGCCAACGGGCCAGCGCAAAGGCCACGCGUGCGACACAGCACUCGGGCUUUUUGUGACGAUCUUGCUCAAUGCAUGCACAGGCGAGCGCGGCCAUAUCUUUGGCGGUGGGCGUAUAGGCCAGUACGUCGCACAGCCAUGCCGCGGCGCGCGCCAUGCCCGCGAGGUGGCCCACGCCCGACCUCGACUGGCGCGCGCUGCGCCCAGUCCCAAGAGGGCUCAGGGCGCGACAUACGAGGUCAGUGGCGGUCAAUCCGGUGGCGUCGAAAAGGGCACUCGCCGAGACCUGCUCGUGGUCUCGCGCGUCCAGUGUCCACAUGAUCAGAGCCACGUCGUCGUCACGAAUGGCAGCGAGCACGAUGGCCUUGCGAUGCUCGGGCGUGAUCACAUCGGUAGGGAUCACAUCCAUGACGCGAGAGGCCGACGGCACCACGCCCAUGUCUUCGGCAUAGUAUCUGCCCUCGGCCCACAAGGUUAUGCCCUCUGCGAGAAGGCGGUGCGCACUCUCUGGAUUCAGGCUGUUGAUCUCUAGAUGAUGGCGUAUGCAGUUAGCGGCGCCAUGGGCAAUGGCGUAUGCAGUGCCGUUCAAGCGUGCAUAGUCCCUGCCUGUGAUCCGCGCCACGUCGGCACGGUCAAAGGCAACGAUGCUCAUGUGAAAGGAGGAGCGCCACAGCCCGCGACGCUCGGGGAGCCUGUAGCCGUCAAUGUCGCCCUCGAUCACCCAGUCGUCAUCGUCUGCGAGAGAGCAUCUCGGUACGAUGUUGGGGUCGCCGUCUGGGUAAAGUGCGUCGAUCGUGCCGACGACGGCCUCAAAGACAUUGACCGAGCAGCGGCGCACGGCGACGUCGAGCAUGGCAUAGGCUAGUUCUUGGCCGUCGGGCAGCCAUCCCGCGCUGCAGGGACGCAGGGAGCGCGCGGGCCGGGCCGGCACGGCUGGUAUGGGCGCGAACGAGGCGCUCGUCAUCGGGUCGAGCGCAUAGGCCACGGUGUCCGACCUGCCUGUGGCCAAGAAGACGACGUGGGCCUGGGCACGCGAGGCGCCCCACUCGGCGACCAUGCGCUCGGCCAUGGCGUCGGCAUACUGCCCAGUCAGGUCCAUGGGCGCAUCGCGCAGCCAUUCGGCGACGGCCGACGCGCACACGAGCAUGCCACGGCGCCAUCGACGGCGGCGUGCGUGCGUCGUGUCAAAGUCCACAUAGUGGUCGCCGGCGCCGACCAUCGGAUAGCGAAAGAACCGCUGUGGAUCGCCGAGGGCGUCGCUGUCCCACGGGGUCGGGUGCUCGACAGCCGCGCGCAAGAGGCGGCACGCCAUGCGGGCCAUGGGCCGCCAACGUGGGUCCAUAAAGGCGCGGCCAUGGCGGUCGCGCCCAUUGACGAUCAGCGCCACCAGUUCAAUAGGCAACAAUGCCCACAAAGUGGAUCCAUCAUUGUUAUCGUUAUCGUUGGCAUCGGCGUCCUCUUGCAUCCUCGGUCGCGUGGUCGGUUCGAAAGCCUUGGCCUGGACCGCGUGUCUCUCUUGUGUGUUUUUUUUCACGCCGCGGCGGGUCCCUUUGUGCGCGCUGCAGCCCCAAUAGGUCGGCCUAUUGGCACUCUCUGGGUCUGCUCGCCAACCCGAAAAAAGAAAAUGGGAAAUAAAGAUUGCAUGGCGCCCGCUCAUCGCGCCCGCAAAGAAUUUUUACGCCCA